RNAcentral lists this ribosomal RNA (292 nucleotides) under uncultured bacterium. RNAcentral's name for it is "partial 16S ribosomal RNA". It matches the Rfam family "Bacterial small subunit ribosomal RNA", at positions 505 to 796 of the family's 1533-position model. The record is from RNAcentral.
GUGCCAGCAGCCGCGGUAAUACGGAGGGUGCGAGCGUUAAUCGGAAUUACUGGGCGUAAAGCGCACGUAGGCGGUCGUGUAAGUCGGAUGUGAAAGCCCUGGGCUUAACCUGGGAACUGCAUUCGAUACUGCAUGGCUAGAGUAUGGGAGAGGGAAGCGGAAUUUCCGGUGUAGCGGUGAAAUGCGUAGAUAUCGGAAGGAACACCAAUGGCGAAGGCAGCUUCCUGGCCCAAUACUGACGCUCAGGUGCGAAAGCGUGGGGAUCAAACAGGAUUAGAAACCCGCGUAGUCC